Molecule: ribosomal RNA, 254 nt
Filed under: uncultured bacterium
Lineage: Bacteria
Description: partial 16S ribosomal RNA
Rfam family: Bacterial small subunit ribosomal RNA
Source: RNAcentral
GAUCAUGGCUCAGGAUGAACGCUAGCUACAGGCUUAACACAUGCAAGUCGAGGGGCAGCAUGACCUAGCAAUAGGUUGAUGGCGACCGGCGCACGGGUGAGUAACACGUACCCAACCUACCGGUUAUUCCGGGAUAGCCUUUCGAAAGAAAGAUUAAUACCGGAUAGUAUAACGAGAAGGCAUCUUCUUGUUAUUAAAGAAUUUCGAUAACCGAUGGGGAUGCGUUCCAUUAGUUUGUUGGCGGGUAACGGCCC